This 305-nucleotide ribosomal RNA is filed under the name uncultured bacterium. Its description in RNAcentral is "bacterial SSU rRNA". It matches the Rfam family "Bacterial small subunit ribosomal RNA", at positions 333 to 655 of the family's 1533-position model. The record is from RNAcentral.
UGUUACCUACGGGAGGCAGCAGUGGGGAAUAUUGCACAAUGGGGGAAACCCUGAUGCAGCGACGCCGCGUGAGUGAAGAAGUAAUUCGUUACGUAAAGCUCUAUCAGCAGGGAAGAAAAUGACGGUACCUGAGUAAGAAGCCCCGGCUAACUACGUGCCAGCAGCCGCGGUAAUACGUAGGGGGCAAGCGUUAUCCGGAUUUACUGGGUGUAAAGGGGGCGCAGACGGCGAUGCAAGCCAGGAGUGAAAGCCCGGGGCCCAACCCCGGGACUGCUCUUGGAACUGCGUGGCUGGAGUGCAGGAGG